This is a long non-coding RNA of Athalia rosae (coleseed sawfly), 1630 nucleotides long. RefSeq lists it as uncharacterized. The record is from RefSeq and is a predicted model, not a curated record. NCBI's taxonomy places the organism in Eukaryota, Metazoa, Arthropoda, Insecta, Hymenoptera, Athaliidae. The transcript has 3 exons.
GUCCCACUGUAAAAACACAUAAUUCGAUCUAAUUACAUAUUUUACAAUGUGUAAUACGUCGAACGAGUUCCACUUAAUUACCGCUGAGAUCAAGCUAAUUAUGAGAAACGAGCCUGAUCUGCGGUAUUUUACCGCCGUGCAUUCUUUUUUUUUUUUUUUUUAUUCAUCUCUACUCGCACGUCUCACAGUGCAACAAAAAAGACACCAAUUAUCUUCCCUUCCCUCGUUCGAAAUCAGGACUUUCCCCGAUUUCAACCGCACGCCCCGUCCGCGGAUAACUUUGUAUUUUUUUUUUCUUCUCCCAGCGAAAGACCGAAAAUAACGCGAGGAAUUCGCGCUCGCUCGUAUCCGUGCGGAAAGACGUUUAGCUUCGGGUGGACGGUCUCUCGAAAAAAAAACACGUUAAAAAAGCAAAAAUACGGAAAAUUCGACCGAAAAGAAUCCGUCGUUGAUUUUUUUCCUCUCCUUUUUUCCAUUCCUCGCAAUCGUCGUUACGCCGUGAAAAAAAUCGUACGCGUUGAUCAUGUGAUCGAGAUAUCGGGUCAUAAAGAUAUAAAUCCCGUGAUCACCGCCACUCGGUAGAGGUUUAAAGAUUAUUGAGUUGACAAAUAGCCGUCGCGAUUAGCGAUCCGAUAUAACAACAGGAAUAACGGUGUAAUAAUCAACAUCAUCCACGUGAAAAUGCAGUGGACAUCGGGCCGGAUCAAUUAAAACUGAAAUCGGCGUGGCGAGGAAGACUGAAAAAUAUGACUCGUACGAUCGUUGAACGUCAUAGGAAAUUCUUGGCAGCUUCAAGGAUUAGCAAACGUCGAUUAUUGGCAACGACGCAGACGUUCGCGGUGUGGACAUUCUAUAUUUGAAUAUACCGAAGGCGGCGAAGGACAAGGGUGAACAAAAACGAGGAGCGUUGAAACACAAGAUUUUUACACGGCGCGCAAUUCCGAUGGAAGCUACGACGACGAAUCGAAAAAUUGAUAAAACGAUUUUACACGAAUAAAGUGUUUUGCAAAAAUUGGCAUCGACGUUUUAUUCACGGAGUCACAAGGCAAGAAGUGGACAGCCUACGAAGCAAAUCCACCUCAUACAAAUGAAUCGUACAACACAGUUGUCUUUGGAAUACUUUGAAGUUAAUUCGGAUGAAAAAUUUCGUCAAUGAUAUCGUGACUCAUUUACUGUAAGAAUAGAUGCAUCUGCAUAAAUAAAUCCAUCAUAUACAUAAUAAUGUGCUAAAGUUCAUUUCACCUCCAUUGAAUUAUCCAUAAUCAAAAAUCAUCGUCAAAAUCCAAAAAUCAAGCCUAAAACAAAUCCCGAAGGAAUCAAUCGAGACUUUUUUUUUUAUCAAUCAUUUAUUACAAAAAAAAUCUGAUCCAAAAAUCCAAUUUCUACAAACCGCGAGCUGGCGCCAUCCCUCGGAAUUUCGGUGAACUUAGAAGGGGUGCGCUUAAGGGUGGUCGGUAUUCUAUAUACCUAGGAGCCGCUAAGGGAUGAAAUAGCGGUAAAAAUAAAUCAGUCUAAUUCAAAUGAAGAUUAACGUUCAUUCCUUGGGUGCAAAAAUUUCAAAAAUCUGUCGAUUGCAACCCCUAAUUUUUUCAAAGUACUAAGCUACUUGCUGCAUAGUGUAACUAUUCAU